Molecule: long non-coding RNA, 519 nt
Filed under: Homo sapiens (human)
Lineage: Eukaryota; Metazoa; Chordata; Mammalia; Primates; Hominidae
Description: HSALNT0260744
Source: RNAcentral
GGGACUGGCUGGAUUUUGUGGUGUGUAAGGGAGGUAAUAAUGGGGACAAUGAUGAUGACAGCCAGUAGCAUUUACUACACAACAGGAACCACGCGAAAUGCUUGACAAUCACAAUCACUUUUCACUCGAGUAUCUAGUUACCUAACCAUCACCAUUACCACGAACUAAUUUAAUUCUUCUUUGAUCCUUAUGAGAAAGAUACUAUCAUUAUCCUAAUUUUAGACAUAAAAAAGGAUUUUUUUUUUUUUUUUUUACAGGAAAGAGAACAGCAAAGGCUUAGUGGUUAUGGCACUGACUCGGGAGUCAGAGAGAACCUAUUCCAGACUUCCUUCUGUCUGCAUCUCAGUUACACACACACACGCACACGCACACGCACACGCACACGAGCUGAGAACCAGACCUUCAGGGUAGGGCUCCUGUCCUGCCCUAGCACCCAGAAGAGGACUCACCGGGGCUGAGUGACAGGGAUAAUGGGCUCUGGCCUCCUCUUGGCCUGCGGUGCCUCUUCCUCCAGGGGGG